RNAcentral lists this long non-coding RNA (224 nucleotides) under Elaeis guineensis (African oil palm). Its description in RNAcentral is "long non-coding RNA (EGUI_LNC018669)". Lineage: Eukaryota; Viridiplantae; Streptophyta; Magnoliopsida; Arecales; Arecaceae. The record is from RNAcentral.
AGUUCGGAGUGGGCAGGAUAGGUCUCUUGAAUCUGAUUUCAACCCGUGAUGCCUUGCUUCUCUUUUAAGGGUAUGAUUUUGAGAAUAUGACUUUAGAAUACAAGUCUCCUCGAACUAAUGUCGUAAAGUUGAAUUCAUAGAUUUAGGUACUUUACGUCAGUGGUUUAUGGAGUUGAACCUGAAAAAUCAAGUAUCUUAGUAAAUAUCAAGAAGGUCCAAUCCAG